Molecule: ribosomal RNA, 500 nt
Filed under: Brachysporiella navarrica
Lineage: Eukaryota; Fungi; Ascomycota; Dothideomycetes; Kirschsteiniotheliales
Description: eukaryotic LSU rRNA
Rfam family: 5.8S ribosomal RNA (bases 149-302)
Source: RNAcentral
CUAGCGAGCGAGGGCGGCCGGCCCGACCUCCAGCCCCCUGUGUAUCUGACCGGUUGCUUUGGCGGCCGCCGGCCCCCGGGUCGGCCCGCCAGAGGCCCCCCUUCGAACGCUGUAACGGUGGCCCUCCGAGCGAUGGCUUAACGCACAAAACUUUCAACAACGGAUCUCUUGGCUCUGGCGUCGAUGAAGAACGCAGCGAAAUGCGAUAACUAAUACGAAUUGCAGAAUUCAGCGAAUGAUCGAAUCUUUGAACGCACAUUGCGCCCCCUGGUAGCCCGGGGGGCACGCCUGUUCGAGCGUCAUCACACCCCUCAAGCCUGGCUUGGUCUUGGGCCGCGCCCCCUCGGGGCGGGCCUCGAACUCCUGGGCGGUGCCGCCCCCCACCCAGCGUGACCGGGAGACUCUCCACGCGCUGGCCGGGGCGAUGCCCGCCGCGAGCGGCCCCUAGGGCCCCUACGGUCUGACCUCGGAUCAGGCGGGAAUACCCGCUGAACUUAAGC